AGUGAACGCUGGCGGUAGGCCUAACACAUGCAAGUCGAACGGAAGCACAGUAAGAGCUUGCUCUUACGGGUGGCGAGUGGCGGACGGGUGAGGAAUACAUCGGAAUCUACUUUUUCGUGGGGGAUAACGUAGGGAAACUUACGCUAAUACCGCAUAUGACCUACGGGUGAAAGCAGGGGAUCUUCGGACCUUGCGCGAUUGAAUGAGCCGAUGUCGGAUUAGCUAGUUGGCGGGGUAAAGGCCCACCAAGGCGACGAUCCGUAGCUGGUCUGAGAGGAUGAUCAGCCACACUGGAACUGAGACACGGUCCAGACUCCUACGGGAGGCAGCAGUGGGGAAUAUUGGACAAUGGGCGCAAGCCUGAUCCAGCCAUACCGCGUGAGUGAAGAAGGCCUUCGGGUUGUAAAGCCCUUUUGUUGGGAAAGAAAAGCAGCAGGUUAAUACCCCGCUGUUCUGACGGUACCCAAAGAAUAAGCACCGGCUAACUUCGUG
This 492-nucleotide ribosomal RNA is filed under the name uncultured bacterium. RNAcentral's name for it is "partial 16S ribosomal RNA". It matches the Rfam family "Bacterial small subunit ribosomal RNA", at positions 29 to 507 of the family's 1533-position model. The record is from RNAcentral.